This is a non-coding RNA of Hemiscyllium ocellatum (epaulette shark), 2289 nucleotides long. NCBI's taxonomy places the organism in Eukaryota, Metazoa, Chordata, Chondrichthyes, Orectolobiformes, Hemiscylliidae. The record is from the annotation of a RefSeq genome assembly.
UCUUGACAGAACCGCUUCCCAGAUAGUUAUCAGAAUGAUUGUGUCGACAAUUUUUCUCAGUUUAUUACUGACUUUCUUAUCAUGUGUCCAGUCGGAGGUUGUUUUGACCCAGCCAGAGGCAGAGACUGGCCGUCCCUCAGGCAGCCUGAAACUGACCUGUAAAACCAGCGGGUUCGAUCUCAGCAGCAGCUACAUGAGCUGGGUCCGCCAGGUUCCCGGCCAGGGUCUGGAGUGGCUGGUUAGCUACUAUGGUUCAUCCAGCAAUAACUAUGCACCAGCGAUUAAGGGUCGAUUUAGUGCGUCCAAAGACACUUCAAAGAACAUUUUCGCGUUGGAGAUGACUAACCUGAAGAUCGAAGACACCGCCAUCUAUUACUGUGCAAGUGGCUGGUACUAUCUUGAUUACUGGGGCCAAGGGACCAUGGUGACAGUGACUUCAGAGACACCAUCUCCCCCCACGCUUUAUGGCCUGGCCUCCUCCUGUGAGGAGCACAGCACCGGUUCGACAAUCUUUGGUUGUUUGGUGAUGGACUAUUCCCCAGACGUCACCAAGGUAACCUGGAAGAAAGGUGGGGUGCUAAUCACGAAUGGUGGAUUGAAGACUUACCCAUCAGUGAGAAACAAGAAGGGAACCUACACCCUGAGCAGCCAGUUAACCCUGCCCGGGUCAGCGGUAGAUUGCCCCAGCAAAAUCUACUGUGAGGUUCAACACAGCGGGUCUCACAAGAGCAAAGAAAUGCCAUGUGGUACAGGUCCUCUCCCACCAACUCUUCUCCUAACUGUGAGCUCCAGUGAAGAAAUCGCAAGCAGCAAGUUUGCAACUGUCGUUUGUUCAAUCAUCGAUUUCCAUCCGAAGGCAAUCAACGUGACUUGGUUGAAAAAUGGCCGACGCUUGGAUUCUGGCUUCUUCACGUCUCCCGUGUGUGAGGCGAACGGGAACUUCUCGGUGACGAGUCGGCUGAUGGUCCCUUAUGGUGAAUGGUACAACAGCGCAGUCUAUACCUGCCAGGUCACUCACGAAGAGAACAUUCAAAGUAAAAACAUCACCGCACUCCAGGAAGAUACCGAGUGCCACCCUCACACCGUUAAAAUCCUCCCACCGCCAAUCGAACAAGUCUUACUGGAAGCGACGGUGACGUUAACCUGCGUUGUGUCCAAUUUUCUUCCUGGAGUCAGCGUGACCUGGAAACAAGAUAAGAAGCCUCUGAGCUCAGAGAUUGCUGACCAGCCUGGACAGAAUCCCGACAGCGUGAUCAGCAAAUUAGACAUUUCUACUGAAGCCUGGCUGAGUGGUGUUACUUUUGAAUGUGUGGUGAACCAUCAAAAUCUACCGACUCCGCUGAGAGACUCCAUCCACAAGGAGAAAGUGAUUAAUCCGCUGGAGCCAUCAGUGUCGGUCCUCCUCCCACCAACAGAAGAAAUCUCCGCACAGAGGUUUCUCUCCCUCACCUGUUUAGUGAGAGGUUUCUCCCCCCGAGAGAUCUUCGUCAAGUGGACAAACAAUGACAAGCCGGUGAAUCCCAGUAACUACAAGAACACCGAGGUGAUGGCAGAGAGUGACAACACUUCCUUCUUCAUCUACAGCCUGUUAUCCAUUACAGCGGAGGAGUGGGCCAGCGGUGCUUCUUACUCCUGUGUGGUGGGACAUGAAGCGAUUCCAUUGAAGAUCAUCAACAGAACAGUCGAUAAAUCCAGCGAUUCAAUAGAUCGCACUUGGAUUGAAGACUAUGAGGAUGAUAACAGCAACAUCUGGACAACUGCUUCCACGUUCAUCACCUUGUUCUUCCUGAGUAUUUUCUACAGCGCUGCCGUCACUCUGGUGAAGGUUAAGUGAAUGAGUUGUGGACCCCUUUGAUGUUCCUGAUCUGCUUAUCAAGGUCUCUGAAUUCCCAAUCUACAAUCUGUCCUGUUGCUGACUCUCACAGUGAGAUCACUUCAGUUUAUCAGUGUGUAACUGAGACAAUAAUUGAUGGAUUUUCGUUUUUACUUUAUAUCUUUGAAAUGGUUGUGGUUGGAAGAAUUUGUAGCUUCCCUGUUGUUUGAAGCCCAUUUGUUUUGUUUUUAUUUGUUCCUUACUCAGAAUGGUUGCCUACCCUUUCUGAUGAGCCUUUGUAUUCCCUUUCUUGUGACUGUUACUGAUGUACAGAAAAUUCCCACCUCACAGCGCAUGUGUUCUCAUCUCAAUGUGGCACCCAACCAUUAUAUUCACUUCUGUUAGCUUUUACAUCAACUUUUUGGAUAAAAAUGCUUUCUGAAAUGGUUAAUAAAUCUCGAAUGAAUAUGCACUAA